GACGAACGCUGGCGGCGUGCUUAACACAUGCAAGUCGAACGGAAAGGCCCUGCUUUUGUGGGGUGCUCGAGUGGCGAACGGGUGAGUAACACGUGAGUAACCUGCCCUUGACUUUGGGAUAACUUUAGGAAACUGGGGCUAAUACCGGAUAGGAGCUCCUGCUGCAUGGUGGGGGUUGGAAAGUUUCGGCGGUUGGGGAUGGACUCGCGGCUUAUCAGCUUGUUGGUGGGGUAGUGGCUUACCAAGGCUUUGACGGGUAGCCGGCCUGAGAGGGUGACCGGCCACAUUGGGACUGAGAUACGGCCCAGAAUCCUACGGGAGGCAGCAGUGGGGAAUAUUGCACAAUGGGCGGAAGCCUGAUGCAGCAACGCCGCGUGCGGGAUGACGGCUUUCGGGGUGUAAACCGCUUUCGCAUGUGACGAAGCGUGAGUGACGGUAAUGGGUAAAGAAGCACCGGCUAACUACGUG
Molecule: ribosomal RNA, 468 nt
Filed under: uncultured bacterium
Lineage: Bacteria
Description: partial 16S ribosomal RNA
Rfam family: Bacterial small subunit ribosomal RNA
Source: RNAcentral